This 27-nucleotide small RNA is filed under the name Bombyx mori (domestic silkworm). RNAcentral describes it as "piRNA piR-bmo-1733824". The record is from RNAcentral. Lineage: Eukaryota; Metazoa; Arthropoda; Insecta; Lepidoptera; Bombycidae.
UAUUGUUUAGGUUGUCUGGUGAACGUG